GUCCACGCCCUAAACGAUGAGAACUAGACGUUGGGAAGUUUAUCUUCUCAGUGUCGCAGCUAACGCGUUAAGUUCUCCGCCUGGGGAGUACGGCCGCAAGGUUAAAACUCAAAGGAAUUGACGGGGCCCGCACAAGCGGUGGAGCAUGUGGUUUAAUUCGAUGCAACGCGAAGAACCUUACCUGCCCUUGACAUCCACGGAACCCUGCCUAGAGGCGGGGGUGCCCUUCGGGGAGCCGUGAGACAGGUGCUGCAUGGCUGUCGU
RNAcentral lists this ribosomal RNA (264 nucleotides) under uncultured bacterium. Its description in RNAcentral is "partial 16S ribosomal RNA". It matches the Rfam family "Bacterial small subunit ribosomal RNA", at positions 793 to 1055 of the family's 1533-position model. The record is from RNAcentral.